AACGAACGCUGGCGGCAGGCCUAACACAUGCAAGUCGAGCGGACAUCUUCGGAUGUUAGCGGCGGACGGGUGAGUAACGCGUGGGAACGUGCCCUUUGCUUCGGAAUAGCCUCGGGAAACUGGGAGUAAUACCGGAUGUACCCUUUGGGGGAAAGAGUUAUCGGCAAAGGAUCGGCCCGCGUUGGAUUAGGUAGUUGGUGGGGUAAUGGCCUACCAAGCCGACGAUCCAUAGCUGGUGUGAGAGGAUGAUCAGCCACACUGGGACUGAGACACGGCCCAGACUCCUACGGGAGGCAGCAGUGGGGAAUCUUAGACAAUGGGGGAAACCCUGAUCUAGCCAUGCCGCGUGAGCGAUGAAGGCCUUAGGGUUGUAAAGCUCUUUCACCGGGGAAGAUAAUGACGGUACCCGGAGAAGAAGCCCCGGCUAACUCCGUG
Molecule: ribosomal RNA, 435 nt
Filed under: uncultured bacterium
Lineage: Bacteria
Description: partial 16S ribosomal RNA
Rfam family: Bacterial small subunit ribosomal RNA
Source: RNAcentral